RNAcentral lists this long non-coding RNA (202 nucleotides) under Lathyrus oleraceus (garden pea). RNAcentral describes it as "Pisum sativum (pea) long non-coding RNA (PSAT_LNC005145)". The record is from RNAcentral. Lineage: Eukaryota; Viridiplantae; Streptophyta; Magnoliopsida; Fabales; Fabaceae.
AUGCAACCUCACAUUUCUGUUUUUGGAAAAAAAAUGCAAAAGGUGUGGAAAGCAAUCCUCAUGCUAUAUAUACAUGUCCCUUGAGCUUAGAAAUGGAUCCUUCUUGCCCAAGCUUUGACCUGCUUCUUACCUAACCUCCAUUAAAGGUAAAUCUUGAGGAUUUCUUCUUGAAAUCGAGUUUCAAUUCUAAUUCUGUUUUGGA